Molecule: ribosomal RNA, 497 nt
Filed under: uncultured bacterium
Lineage: Bacteria
Description: partial 16S ribosomal RNA
Rfam family: Bacterial small subunit ribosomal RNA
Source: RNAcentral
GAUGAACGCUGGCGGCGUGCCUAAUACAUGCAAGUCGAGCGAACGGACGAGAAGCUUGCUUCUCUGAUGUUAGCGGCGGACGGGUGAGUAACACGUGGAUAACCUACCUAUAAGACUGGGAUAACUUCGGGAAACCGGAGCUAAUACCGGAGAAUAUUUUGAACCGCAUGGUUCAAAAGUGAAAGACGGUCUUGCUGUCACUUAUAGCUGGAUCCGCGCUGCAUUAGCUAGUUGGUAAGGUAACGGCUUACCAAGGCAACGAUGCAUAGCCGACCUGAGAGGGUGAUCGGCCACACUGGAACUGGGACACGGUCCAGACUCCUACGGGAGGCAGCAGUAGGGAAUCUUCCGCAAUGGGCGAAAGCCUGACGGAGCAACGCCGCGUGAGUGAUGAAGGUCUUCGGAUCGUAAAACUCUGUUAUUAGGGAAGAACAUAUGUGUAAGUAACUGUGCACAUCUUGACGGUACCUAAUCAGAAAGCCACGGCUAACUACGUG